Molecule: long non-coding RNA, 2099 nt
Filed under: Triticum aestivum (bread wheat)
Lineage: Eukaryota; Viridiplantae; Streptophyta; Magnoliopsida; Poales; Poaceae
Description: long non-coding RNA (TAES_LNC019748)
Source: RNAcentral
GGGAGUGGCAAGAUAUCCUCAGGUUAAAUUUUAUGGGCCGUUGUCGACAGUACUUUGUUCAUUAGAUUUUAGGCUCUAAGCUUGUUUAGGAUUUCAUAGCAGGUUGUUUAGCUAUCUAUGGAGCUAGAUAUUUAGCCUUGUUAACAUGAUAUUGGAUGUCACUAGAAGCAAGUUCACUAUAAUUGUCCUGUCAGCUACUCCCUCCAUCCCAUAAUAUUAUGAUGUUAUUACAUCCAAUAUGCAUUAUGGGACUGAGGGAGUAUUUCUUUACUGCUUUGUAUUCUGGCCCGUGCGUUUUCAACGGAGCGUGGUUUUGUCGUAGUGUAUUGCAGUGUUCUUGUAUUCCGGCCCAUGCGUUUUCAACAGAGCAUGGUUUCGUCGUAGUGUAUUGCACUGUUCUUGUAUUCCGGCCCGUGCGUUUUCAACAGAGCGUGGUUUCGUCGUAGUGUAUUUCACUGUUGUGUUCGUUACUGGUGUACUCUCUGUGCUGCCAGAUUACUACUCUAAGAAAAACUGUGAAGGUUGCUUCCAGUUUGACACGAUUUCUACACGGGAGCUGCGACGCGAGUCCAUAACUCCACGCUGAAAAUUGUGCUGGAUAUUGGGCGCAACAUUUCCAAUGCGAUAUAUGGGGUGCAUCUAACUGGGGCAACUAAACUUGCCUGGGAAGUUUACUCAAAACUCGCAAAAUCUUGGUAAAACGAUCAGCGUCAUCCCAUCAAUGUCAAAUAGAUGUGUACACUCCUGGAACCUAGACCAGCUACUUGUGUUCACCAGCAAUUCAUCAAACAACCUUAAAAGCGCAUGAAGUACAGACUAGUCGUAUUUCACCAUUCUAGGCGAUCGUUUUCCAUUGGGUUUCCGAACACAUGUCAUGACUUCACUUCCGCGGUACAUCUCAAUAAAACAUCAAACAUAACAUCCAUAAAUAAGCCGAUCACCAAGCAAACUAAGGUGAUAUUUUGCAAGAGAAUGAUAAUCUAGUCACUGUCCCAUGUAUCCCUUUUUUAUUAUCUGAGCUCCUCGCACAAAAAAUUGGGUAUUCAUAUGUUCGGUGUUUCUUCUUUGUGCAAAGGAUCCAAAUAGGCAAGUGCAUUUUACUAUGUCCUCGAAGGUGUUCCAUAGAUAAGCAAAAAAAGGGUUUCAUUUUGGAUUCCCCAAUUUUGAAAAAUUGCAUAUUAAUUUCCUUCCGCGGUACAUCUCAAUAAAACAUCAAACAUAACAUCCAUAAAUAAGCCGAUCACCAAGCAAACUAAGGUGAUAUUUUGCAAGAGAAUGAUAAUCUAGUCACUGUCCCAUGUAUCCCUUUUUUAUUAUCUGAGCUCCUCGCACAAAAAAUUGGGUAUUCAUAUGUUCGGUGUUUCUUCUUUGUGCAAAGGAUCCAAAUAGGCAAGUGCAUUUUACUAUGUCCUCGAAGGUGUUCCAUAGAUAAGCAAAAAAAGGGUUUCAUUUUGGAUUCCCCAAUUUUGAAAAAUUGCAUAUUAAUUUCCUUCAUAUGAACAGAAAAAUAUGAUGACUCAAAGAAGUCCUCUACUAGAAACUUCGUAUAUUGUACAUGACAUGACUUAGCAAAAGAAAUUAAGAUAAAGAUCGUCGGGAUAGCAAUAUUUUCCAUCUGGGUAUUACUCAUGUCAAGAGAUUAUUUAGACAAUUAGCAAAAGAAAUUGUAUGGCUGAAUUGCAAGAAAUCUACUAUAAAAAGGAAAGAAUGUGGGAAAAAAUUAGCAAAAGAAAUUGUGUGGCUGCUGGGAUUCGAGCCCAGGUCUCCACGGCCACAACGUGGAAUUCUCACCACUAAACUACAGCCACAAUCAUGUGCAAUUUUAGCGGGAACCCUCUCUACACACUUUCUUCUGUUGAUGUCACACUACAUAGGCCCGUGAUAAAACCUAAUUAGAGCACGAGUAUUUCCCACUAAAAAAUAAACCUAGGGUCAAAUUGUUGGCAUGUAGACAAAAAAAUGCUAAAACCUAGAGAACGAGUGUUUCCCACAAUUUUUUUAACAUACUUAACCACUAUCUUAAUACCUAUAAAUAAACUAGAGCAUGCCACAAGUCACCAAAGAGCAGACUAUAGACGUACUCCCUCCGUCCCAUAAUA